GAUGAACGCUGGCGGCGUGCCUAAUACAUGCAAGUCGAGCGAACAGAUAAGGAGCUUGCUCCUUUGACGUUAGCGGCGGACGGGUGAGUAACACGUGGGUAACCUACCUAUAAGACUGGGAUAACUUCGGGAAACCGGAGCUAAUACCGGAUAACAUUUGGAACCGCAUGGUUCUAAAGUGAAAGAUGGUUUUGCUAUCACUUAUAGAUGGACCCGCGCCGUAUUAGCUAGUUGGUAAGGUAACGGCUUACCAAGGCAACGAUACGUAGCCGACCUGAGAGAGUGAUCGGCCACACUGGAACUGAGACGCGGUCCAGACUCCUACGGGAGGCAGCAGUAGGGAAUCUUCCGCAAUGGGCGAAAGCCUGACGGAGCAACGCCGCGUGAGUGAUGAAGGGGUUCGGCUCGUAAAACUCUGUUAUUAGGGAAGAACAAACGUGUAAGUAACUGUGCACGUCUUGACGGUACCUAAUCAGAAAGCCACGGCUAACUACGUG
RNAcentral lists this ribosomal RNA (497 nucleotides) under uncultured bacterium. Its description in RNAcentral is "partial 16S ribosomal RNA". It matches the Rfam family "Bacterial small subunit ribosomal RNA", at positions 28 to 507 of the family's 1533-position model. The record is from RNAcentral.